Molecule: ribosomal RNA, 253 nt
Filed under: uncultured bacterium
Lineage: Bacteria
Description: partial 16S ribosomal RNA
Rfam family: Bacterial small subunit ribosomal RNA
Source: RNAcentral
UACGUAGGUGGCAAGCGUUGUCCGGAAUUAUUGGGCGUAAAGCGCGCGCAGGUGGUUCCUUAAGUCUGAUGUGAAAGCCCACGGCUCAACCGUGGAGGGUCAUUGGAAACUGGGGAACUUGAGUGCAGAAGAGGAAAGUGGAAUUCCAAGUGUAGCGGUGAAAUGCGUAGAUAUCUGGAGGAAUACCGGUGGCGAAGGCGGCAUCCUGGACCAUAACUGACGCUGAGGCGCGAAAGCUAGGGGAGCAAACGGG